AUCAUUUUGCUGUGUGAUACGACCAGGGAAGCACGUCUGAAGUUAUUCUACUGAAAGUCUGUAUCUUUUGCCUGUUUUCAAGAAUCAGUGGAACCAUAUCGAAAAUUUCAACCUAUCUACAGAGAUGGGUCGUCUACAGGAUAAAGAAAAAAAUAUGCCGAUCAUGAAAAUGGGUCCGCUAAAAAUCUUCUAAGUCAUCGAUUAAAUUUGGGAAUGGCAAGAAGAAGCAUACCAAUCAUCAGUGACUAUAGACGAUAGAGGUCAGGAAGAAAGAGAAGAAGCAAUGAUGAAAGCAGUAGGCCCAUUCUUGGCAACAACAUGACUUCUUCAGGGGAAGUUUAAUGAUAUCUUUGUGUCAUCAGAACUGAGUCACAGAAUGCUGUACACAUCCAGACGGACACGGAACUCAAUCCUCACAAUCACAACAUCACUCGACCUUCUGUCAGAGGCCACGAUGUCAAUCUCUUCGUUUUAUAUCUACUAUUUUCAAUAUCCCACUUGCCUAAGUAAGACGCUCAUAUUUAAAUAUUCAAAAGAUCUUACUAGAUAUUCAGGAUGAAGAUAACAUUCCAUGCCCCAUAUUUACAUUAACAAAAAAUCAAACAUGCAGUGAGUUAAGAUAAUUAAGACUCUAUAUCUAUCUGUGUCAAUUAUUUAUUGCUGAAAUCUAGGAAUCAACACUCGAGUGUCCUAAUAAUUUUGGUUAUGGUUUGUUCCAUAACAAUGUCAGAUUUGUCUUAAAUCUGUAUAUUAUAAAAUGUUUUCUCAAUUUCAAAUCUAAAUAGUAUUUUCUUUAAUAAUCAGACGCCAUGUAUGUUAUGAUUCUGAGUAUUGACUAAGUUUGAAUAGGUUUCUUUUGUAAAAAAAAAAUAUUGUGUAAUCAAUAAAUGCAAAUGUUUGUGUUAUGACAUUGCAGAGCAAAAUAUUAGUUCUUUUAUAAUGCAUUAUGAUUUAUUUGGACAGCAACAGUAUGCACAUACCAAAUUCUCUAAUUUGUAUUAUCUACAUUUUAUCACCUUGUUCACAAAGGAAUUUAUCUGACUAUCAAUUUGUAUUAUGGAUUUUUUUUUCAUAAUUCUGUCACUCGAGUACAAACACAAAUUUGUCCUUCUACCUUGAAUUUGUAUCCAAAUUAUUGUUUUGAUAUUUUCAUGAGGAGCAUAAUAACAUAUACUGAUACUGCAAUGUACAACAUUCUUCAUGUUUACAGAAAUACAUCGAAGAAAAGUAAACAAAUAAACAGCAAAAAAUAAUUAAGUUUUCACAUGUAUAUUUUCAUAUUUGAAGUCCUUCAAUUGAAUAUCAACUAUUGAGUACAUUCACCUACUGCCAUAUUUUUAUUAAACAAAAUAUAUAUAUUCCCUGUAUCGAGAAUGAAAUCUAAUUAAUGAUUAUAAUUACAACUUUGAAACUUUAAUUUGAUUUUUUUAUUCGAAUUCAUUUUUAUUUAAUUUUUUCUGCCAUGAUUUU
Molecule: long non-coding RNA, 1470 nt
Organism: Lytechinus pictus (painted urchin)
Lineage: Eukaryota; Metazoa; Echinodermata; Echinoidea; Temnopleuroida; Toxopneustidae
Exons: 4
Source: RefSeq, a predicted model, not a curated record